CAUAGUGGCAUGAGGCGAACCGGGGGAACUGAAACAUCUCAGUACCCCGAGGAAAAGAAAUCAACCGAGAUUCCCCCAGUAGCGGCGAGCGAACGGGGAGGAGCCCAGAACCUGAAUCAGUUUGAGUCUUAGUGGAAGCGUCUGGAAAGUCGCACGACAGAGGGUGAUAGUCCCGUACACGAAGAGGCAUGAGCUGUGAGUUCGACGAGUAGGGCGGGACACGUGUUAUCCUGUCUGAAUAUGGGGGGACCAUCCUCCAAGGCUAAAUACUCCUGACUGACCGAUAGUGAACCAGUACCGUGAGGGAAAGGCGAAAAGAACCCCGGCGAGGGGAGUGAAAUAGAACCUGAAACCGUGUACGUACAAGCAGUGGGAGCAUCCUUCGGGGUGUGACUGCGUACCUUUUGUAUAAUGGGUCAGCGACUUAUAUUCUGUAGCAAGGUUAACCGCAUAGGGGAGCCGCAGGGAAACCGAGUCUUAACUGGGCGUUAAGUUGCAGGGUAUAGACCCGAAACCCGGUGAUCUAGCCAUGGGCAGGUUGAAGGUUGGGUAACACUAACUGGAGGACCGAACCGACUAAUGUUGAAAAAUUAGCGGAUGA
This 601-nucleotide ribosomal RNA is filed under the name Lonsdalea populi. Its description in RNAcentral is "bacterial LSU rRNA". It matches the Rfam family "Bacterial large subunit ribosomal RNA", at positions 165 to 807 of the family's 2925-position model. The record is from RNAcentral. Lineage: Bacteria; Pseudomonadati; Pseudomonadota; Gammaproteobacteria; Enterobacterales; Pectobacteriaceae.